This 924-nucleotide long non-coding RNA is filed under the name Homo sapiens (human). RNAcentral's name for it is "non-protein coding lnc-KIAA0100-2:1". The record is from RNAcentral. Lineage: Eukaryota; Metazoa; Chordata; Mammalia; Primates; Hominidae.
AGUUUUCUUCGAAGAUUUGGGGCUCCGCGAUACAGUUAGGAUGGCUGUAGUACCUCUGCUGUUGUUGGGGGGUUUGUGGAGCGCUGUGGGAGCGUCCAGCCUGGGUGUCGUUACUUGCGGCUCCGUGGUGAAGCUACUCAAUACGCGCCACAACGUCCGACUGCACUCACACGACGUGCGCUAUGGGUCAGCUCUUCUGCAUCUUACACUUGCUCCUCAGUUUCCAUCUUUGGCCCCCUUCUACCCAAACCUUAACCUCCUUCUUGUAAGAAACUUGGAGCAGUGACAGGAAUUGCAGAGAAAACUGCUUUUUUUUUUUUUUUUUUUUAGCGUUUGAAAUUAAAAUGUUUAGUAAUAAAUUAUUUGUGGAUUCAUUCAGCAUAGGUCUUAAUGAGUUCCUACUACAUGGCUAGAAUUGUACUACAUACAGGAGAUUCGGUGGUGAUAAUCAGUCAAGAAAAUUACAAUAUAAUAAAAACAGACUAAAAAAAGAAAGUCUUAUCUGCCUGAAAAAAAAAGAUAAAGUUAAAAAAAAAGAAUGAAGGUCAGCUAGUGAGAUGUGAGAGGCAUCUAAGAUAGCUGGUAGAUUUUUGUCUUGAAUGACUGAUGAUGCUGUUUGCUGAGGGAGGAAAGAGUUCUGUCAGGUGGGCUAGUCUGGUUCAUGAUUCCCAAAACCCAUCUGAUCAGUCAGACUAGGCAAGGACAUGAGUUAUCAUCACUGCGAUGUCUUAAUAAUUCUAGCACCCAUUCAGUGAACACCUACCAUGUUGUCAGGCUUAUUUUUUACUUUGUUUUGGUUUCCUACUUUGGAUCUACUGAAUUAGAGUGGAGGUGGACAGAGGCUUGGCAGUAGCAAUCUGUAGGUUUAAAAAGCUCUUCAGGUGGUUCUGAUGGACAGCCAGAUUUGGGAACCAGGUUCAGUCC